Molecule: long non-coding RNA, 763 nt
Filed under: Mytilus galloprovincialis (Mediterranean mussel)
Lineage: Eukaryota; Metazoa; Mollusca; Bivalvia; Mytilida; Mytilidae
Source: RNAcentral
UGUUAUUAUCUAGCUCGCUACUAUGUUAUAUAUAACUAAUUGAACACUUUUUUAAUACUUUUUAUUCUGGAUUACAAAAAAUAUGAUCAGAAAAACCUUAAAUGAUCGUCGAUUUAUCCAAAAGUUUUAAAGUUACACAUAGGAAGUAGUGCUUAUUAAGAACCCUUGUGUAGUUCAUUAUGACUUGUACUUUCGGCCAAGAUGUCAAAGAACAAUUGUAUGAAAUAUUUAAUCGCCGAAAAUCUCUUAAGACAAGUAGUUUAGAUUUCCCAAAUGGCAAAAGUCGUAGGAAUAUUGUUUGUCAUCAAUACGUAGUACAACUACGUCAGUAGUCUAUUAUAUAAUAAGUUCAACUGUUCAUGCUGUUGGCGGCAAUUUCAAAUUAGAAAAAGAAAUGUUCGUAUCUUUUCAAUUUGGAGGCAGGUGUGCAAAUUAGCAGUGGUCCGAGAUCCGCGACCUUCCACUUUUGCAAGCGGAAUUUCGCCUAGGAUAGUUGGUUUCUAGCUACGCCCGACGUAGUCACCUUCCACUUGAAAGAAAAUAAGAGUUAACUUGGCAAACCAUUACCUUUUCACCAUGUUCACCAAAGUCUCCAAUUAAACGAGCUAAAAACUUAUUUUUAUCAUUAUUAUUCAUGACAGCGAUGUUCGUUUUGUUCAAUCGCUAGCUUUAUACAGAAAAUAGCCGACAAAUAUUGUAUAAAUUCGAGUAAAAUCGUAUCUGAUUGACAAAAACAACAUUGUAAAAACAUAACAAUGGCGGC